Molecule: transfer RNA, 73 nt
Filed under: Sinimarinibacterium flocculans
Lineage: Bacteria; Pseudomonadati; Pseudomonadota; Gammaproteobacteria; Nevskiales; Nevskiaceae
Also listed under: 4 other names
Description: gamma proteobacterium NH6-24 tRNA
Rfam family: tRNA
About the family: Transfer RNA (tRNA) molecules are approximately 80 nucleotides in length. Their secondary structure includes four short double-helical elements and three loops (D, anti-codon, and T loops).
Source: Rfam by way of RNAcentral
AGGGCGGUAGCUCAACUGGUAGAGCGGCGGUCUCCAAAACCGCAGGUUGGGGGUUCGAAACCCUCCCGCCCUG